This 464-nucleotide long non-coding RNA is filed under the name Trifolium pratense (red clover). RNAcentral's name for it is "long non-coding RNA (TPRA_LNC011223)". Lineage: Eukaryota; Viridiplantae; Streptophyta; Magnoliopsida; Fabales; Fabaceae. The record is from RNAcentral.
UAUAAUUAAAAAGAUGGGUUGAGAAGGAGAAACAUUUAUGAUAUACCAAGUCCCAAGGGAGAAUUUCACUAAAUCUUUAAGGCAUGUUACAAACCCUUUAAGUUUCACAGUUCUUUGUCGAAGUCCCAAGGGAGAAUUUCGCUAAAUCUUGUAAUAAAUUACAAGUUUCUAUCAAGUGGUAUUGGAGCUGUGGGUAGUGCAUAUUGAAGCAUUCAUGAGCUGUCCGGGAUUCAGCUCGGAAAUCCAAGACUUCUAAUUUCUGUGGGUAGUGCAAUCGAUAACACUAAUAGGCUCACAAAAUAAAUUCCUUAAACAGCCAUCUUCAACAGAAAUUAGAAGCUUAUCCAUCCACAAGCAUCCAAGACUGGGAUUCCAAGAUGAGGAUUCCUAGACUGUGGGUAGCUUACAAGUUCCUCUCGCUUAGCUUAUUGUAAAUAAGUGAGGAUUUAUGCUAAUACUAUUAU